RNAcentral lists this ribosomal RNA (708 nucleotides) under Thiomicrospira sp. Its description in RNAcentral is "bacterial SSU rRNA". It matches the Rfam family "Bacterial small subunit ribosomal RNA", at positions 130 to 832 of the family's 1533-position model. Lineage: Bacteria; Pseudomonadati; Pseudomonadota; Gammaproteobacteria; Thiotrichales; Piscirickettsiaceae. The record is from RNAcentral.
CCUUUAGUGGGGACAACAUAUGGAAACGUAUGCUAAUACCGAAUAUGCUCUACGGAGUAAAGGUGCCCUCUCCUUGGAAGGUAUCGCUAAAGGAUGAGCCCGCGUUAGAUUAGCUAGUUGGUAAGGUAAAGGCUUACCAAGGCGACGAUCUAUAGCUGGUUUGAGAGGAUGAUCAGCCACACUGGAACUGAGACACGGUCCAGACUCCUACGGGAGGCAGCAGUGGGGAAUAUUGCACAAUGGACGCAAGUCUGAUGCAGCCAUACCGCGUGUGUGAAGAAGGCCCGAGGGUUGUAAAGCACUUUCAAUAGCGAGGAAGAUAGUGUAGUUAAUACCUGCAUUGUUUGACGUUAACUAUAGAAGAAGCACCGGCUAACUCUGUGCCAGCAGCCGCGGUAAUACAGAGGGUGCAAGCGUUAUUCGGAAUUACUGGGCGUAAAGCGCGCGUAGGCGGAUUAUUAAGUCAGUUGUGAAAGCCCUGGGCUCAACCUAGGAACUGCAUCUGAUACUGGUAAUCUAGAGUUUAAGAGAGGGAAGUGGAAUUCCAGGUGUAGCAGUGAAAUGCGUAGAUAUCUGGAGGAACAUCAGUGGCGAAGGCGACUUCCUGGCUUAAAACUGACGCUGAGGUGCGAAAGCGUGGGUAGCGAACGGGAUUAGAUACCCCGGUAGUCCACGCCGUAAACGAUGUCAACUARCUGUUGGCCUGAU